This is a long non-coding RNA of Bombyx mori (domestic silkworm), 491 nucleotides long. RefSeq lists it as uncharacterized. The record is from RefSeq and is a predicted model, not a curated record. The transcript is spliced from 2 exons. NCBI's taxonomy places the organism in Eukaryota, Metazoa, Arthropoda, Insecta, Lepidoptera, Bombycidae.
GUAACUAAUACAAUAAUUACUUUCGAUUUCAAUCAAGUACAUUCUGCGACUUUUGCAAGACGUGUAAUGUAUUCAAAUCAUCAGAAUGUUUUAAAUUAAUGGAAAUAAUAAACACGACAUUUCGGUAUCAGAUCUUCUGUACCAAUUUUACUUUGCAAGAAUACAUCCCGGAUGAUUAGAGCAAGAAUCGGUUUUAUUUUAAUAAAACGAGCUCUCGUUAAAUGAAUGUCAUGGUUGGUGGGCGUACGGUGCCAAAAUCUCGAGUAAGGACGGCGGAGAAGGUCACAUUCCAUUGUUUUUUAAUAUUCUUUUUUUGUGACGAUUCAACGCACCCUGAUACAGCAUUAGUUAAGGGGUCAAUUGCUGGUUCGACCUCCGGAUAAUUUCUUAGUCCCGCGUGUUGUUGGGAUUUUCCUUAUAAUUUGACUAUUCUAUUUACAUUUAGUUUUAUAUUAAGAAAUAAACUGCUCAAAUUUACUAUUUAUAAUUUA